This 632-nucleotide ribosomal RNA is filed under the name uncultured bacterium. RNAcentral describes it as "bacterial SSU rRNA". It matches the Rfam family "Bacterial small subunit ribosomal RNA", at positions 35 to 675 of the family's 1533-position model. The record is from RNAcentral.
GCUGGCGGUGCGCCUUAUGCAUGCAAGUCGAGCGAAGCUUUUCAGUAGUUUACUACAGAAAAUGACUGAGCGGCGAACGGGUGAGUAACGCGUGAGCAAUCUACCUUAGUUACAGGGAUAGCCCGAGGAAACUCGGAUUAAUACCUGAUAUUCUUUAUUUCUCGCAUGAGAAUAAAAGGAAAGGUCAGCCGAACUAAGAUGAGCUCGCGUUCUAUCAGCUAGUUGGUGAGGUAAAAGCUUACCAAGGCUACGACGGAUAGCUGGUCUGAGAGGACGAUCAGCCACACUGGGACUGAGACACGGCCCAGACUCCUACGGGAGGCUGCAGCAGGGAAUAUUGUGCAAUGAACGAAAGUUUGACACAGCGACACCGCGUGUGGGAUGACGGAUCUAGGUUUGUAAACCACUUUCAGGAGGGAAGAAAAUGACGGUACCUCCACAAGAAGCCCCGGCCAACUACGUGCCAGCAGCCGCGGUAAUACGUAGGGGGCGAGCGUUGUCCGGAUUUAUUGGGCGUAAAGAGCUCGUAGGCGGUUCAACAAGUCGGUCGUGAAAGUUCAGGGCUCAACCCUGAAAUGUCGAUCGAUACUGUUGUGACUAGGAUACGGUAGAGGUGAGUGGAAUUCCGAGUG